AUAUAGUUCAGUGGUAGAGUGCUUGUCUAGCAUACAUGAGGCUGUGGGUUUGAUUCCCAGUAU
This 63-nucleotide transfer RNA is filed under the name Ictidomys tridecemlineatus (thirteen-lined ground squirrel). RNAcentral's name for it is "Spermophilus tridecemlineatus (thirteen-lined ground squirrel) tRNA". It matches the Rfam family "tRNA", at positions 5 to 66 of the family's 71-position model. From Rfam's summary of the family: Transfer RNA (tRNA) molecules are approximately 80 nucleotides in length. Their secondary structure includes four short double-helical elements and three loops (D, anti-codon, and T loops). Further hydrogen bonds mediate the characteristic L-shaped molecular structure. tRNAs have two regions of fundamental functional importance: the anti-codon, which is responsible for specific mRNA codon recognition, and the 3' end, to which the tRNAs corresponding amino acid is attached (by aminoacyl-tRNA synthetases). tRNAs cope with the degeneracy of the genetic code in two manners: having more than one tRNA (with a specific anti-codon) for a particular amino acid; and 'wobble' base-pairing, i.e. permitting non-standard base-pairing at the 3rd anti-codon position. Lineage: Eukaryota; Metazoa; Chordata; Mammalia; Rodentia; Sciuridae. The record is from Rfam by way of RNAcentral.